RNAcentral lists this ribosomal RNA (459 nucleotides) under uncultured bacterium. RNAcentral describes it as "partial 16S ribosomal RNA". It matches the Rfam family "Bacterial small subunit ribosomal RNA", at positions 338 to 795 of the family's 1533-position model. The record is from RNAcentral.
CCUACGGGGUGCAGCAGUGAGGAAUAUUGGUCAAUGGUCGGGAGACUGAACCAGCCAAGCCGCGUGAGGGAUGAAGGUACAGAGUAUCGUAAACCUCUUUUGUCAGGGAACAAAGGCGGGGACGUGUCCCCGGAUGAGUGUACCUGAAGAAAAAGCAUCGGCUAACUCCGUGCCAGCAGCCGCGGUAAUACGGAGGAUGCGAGCGUUAUCCGGAUUUAUGGGGUUUAAAGGGUGCGCAGGCGGUCUGUUAAGUCAGCGGUCAAAGCCCGGGGCUCAACCCCGGCCCGCCGUUGAAACUGGCAGUCUCGAGUUGGAGAGAAGUAUGCGGAAUGCGCGGUGUAGCGGUGAAAUGCAUAGAUAUCGCGCAGAACUCCGAUUGCGAAGGCAGCAUGCCGGCUCCACACUGACGCUGAGGCACGAAAGCGUGGGUAUCGAACAGGAUUAGAUACCCUUGUAGUC